CGUGAUGGGGUGGCCGCAAGGCUGGAAGCAACUGAUUUCACACUGUCAAGAAAAGCCGCUAGCGAGACCGUAGGUGCCCGUACCGCAAACCGACACAGGUAGAUGAGGAGAGAAUCCUAAGGUGAGCGAGAGAACUAUUGUUAAGGAACUCGGCAAAAUAACCCCGUAACUUCGGGAGAAGGGGUGCUCCGGAAACGGAGCCGCAGUGAAAAGUCCCAGGCGACUGUUUACCAAAAACACAGGUCUCUGCGAAAGCGAAAGCUGAAGUAUAGGGGCUGACGCCUGCCCGGUGCUGGAAGGUUAAGGGGAUGUGUUAGGGCACCGAAGCACUGAACUUAAGCCCCAGUAAACGGCGGCCGUAACGAUAACGGUCCUAAGGUAGCGAAAUUCCUUGUCGGGUAAGUUCCGACCCGCACGAAAGGCGUAACGAUCUGGGAACUGUCUCAACAAUAGACUCGGUGAAAUUGUAGUACCGGUAAAGAUGCCGGUUACCCGCAGCAGGACGGAAAGACCCCAUGGAGCUUUACUGUAGCUUGAUAUUGAGAUUCGGCGUUGCAUGUACAGGAUAGGUGGGAGACUGCGAGGUAAGUACGCCAGUAUUUACGGAGUCACCGUUGGGAUACCACCCUUGUAACGUUGAGUUUCUAACAUUGCGCCGUGAUCCGGCGCAUGGACAGUGUCAGGUGGGCAGUUUGACUGGGGCGGUCGCCUCCUAAAGAGUAACGGAGGCGCCCAAAGGUUCCCUCAGUGCGGUCGGAAAUCGCGCGAAGAGUGUAAAGGCAGAAGGGAGCUUGACUGCGAGACAGACAAGUCGAGCAGGGACGAAAGUCGGGCUUAGUGAUCCGGUGGUUCCGCGUGGAAGGGCCAUCGCUCAACGGAUAAAAGCUACCCUGGGGAUAACAGGCUGAUACCGCCCAAGAGUUCACAUCGACGGCGGUGUUUGGCACCUCGAUGUCGGCUCGUCUCAUCCUGGGGCUGAAGUAGGUCCCAAGGGUUGGGCUGUUCGCCCAUUAAAGAGGUACGCGAGCUGGGUUCAGAACGUCGUGAGACAGUUCGGUCCCUAUCCGCUGUGGGCGUUGGAGAUUUGAGUGGAGCUGUUCCUAGUACGAGAGGACCGGGAUGGACGUAGCUCUGGUGCACCAGUUGUUCUGCCAAGGGCAUCGCUGGGUAGCUACCUACGGACGGGAUAAGCGCUGAAAGCAUCUAAGUGCGAAGCCCCCCACGAGAAAAGAUCUCCUCC
Molecule: ribosomal RNA, 1240 nt
Filed under: metagenome
Description: bacterial LSU rRNA
Rfam family: Bacterial large subunit ribosomal RNA
Source: RNAcentral